GACGAACGCUGGCGGCGUGCCUAAUACAUGCAAGUAGAACGAAGUUGCGAAAGGAAGAGUAACGCGUAGGGACCUCACUGGUAGAGGGGGAUAACUAUUGGAGACGAUAGCUAAUACCGCAUACUCCCAGAUGGAACUGCGUUGUAUUAGCUAGUUGGUGAGGUAACGGCUCACCACGGCAACGAUACAUAGCCGAUCUGAUGAGGUGAUCGGCCACACUGGGACUGAGACACGGCCCAGACUCCUACGGGAGGCAGCAGUAGGGAAUCUUCGGCAAUGGGGGGAACCCUGACCGAGCAACGCCGCGGGAGUGAAGAAGGUUUUCGGAUCGUAAAGCUCGGUUAUUAAGGAAGCGGUACUGAACCAGAAAGGGACGGCUAACUACGUGCCAGCAGCCGCGGUAAUAC
RNAcentral lists this ribosomal RNA (407 nucleotides) under uncultured bacterium. RNAcentral's name for it is "partial 16S ribosomal RNA". It matches the Rfam family "Bacterial small subunit ribosomal RNA", at positions 28 to 526 of the family's 1533-position model. The record is from RNAcentral.